ACUCCUACGGGAGGCAGCAGUCGAGGAUCUUCGGCACUGGGCGAAAGCCUGACCGAGCGACGCCGCGUGGGCGAUGAAGGCCAUUAGGUUGUAAAGCUCUAUCGAGGGGGAACAAGCCGUAAGGUUGAGUGAUCCCUGGAGGAAGCACGGGCCAAGUUCGUGCCAGCAGCCGCGGUAAU
RNAcentral lists this ribosomal RNA (179 nucleotides) under uncultured bacterium. RNAcentral's name for it is "partial 16S ribosomal RNA". It matches the Rfam family "Bacterial small subunit ribosomal RNA", at positions 335 to 524 of the family's 1533-position model. The record is from RNAcentral.